RNAcentral lists this ribosomal RNA (484 nucleotides) under uncultured bacterium. Its description in RNAcentral is "partial 16S ribosomal RNA". It matches the Rfam family "Bacterial small subunit ribosomal RNA", at positions 28 to 507 of the family's 1533-position model. The record is from RNAcentral.
AUUGAACGCUGGCGGCAUGCUUUACACAUGCAAGUCGUACGGCAGCGCGGGCUUCGGCCUGGCGGCGAGUGGCGAACGGGUGAGUAAUACAUCGGAACGUGCCCAGUAGUGGGGGAUAGCUCGGCGAAAGCCGGAUUAAUACCGCAUACGACCUGAGGGUGAAAGCGGGGGAGCUUUGGACCUCGCGCUAUUGGAGGGGCCGAGGGGAGCUUUGCUAGUUGGUGGGGUAAAGGCCUACCAAGGGGACGAUCGGUAGCUGGUCUGAGAGGAGGACCAGCCACACUGGGACUGAGCCGCGCCCCAGACUCCUACGGGAGGCAGCAGUGGGGAAUUUUGGACAAUAGGCGAAAGCCUGAUCCAGCAAUGCCGCGUGUGUUAUGGAGGCCUUCGGGUUGUAAAGCACUUUUGGCGGGAACGAAAAGGACUGUGCCAAUACCACGGUUCGAUGACGGUACCCGCAGAAUAAGCACCGGCUAACUACGUG